GUUAGAUAGUAAACAUAUGUCAUUCAAAAAUUAUUGAAAAUGAUGAUGUGUCUAUGCUACGCUGGAGUGGACAUAUAGUUUUGUACUAAUAUGCGUAUAAGUUUUGGGCUUUAUGUAUGUGGGCUUUAGACUAUCAACAAAGAAAUAUAUUAUACAUAGAAACGUAUACAUUUAUUGUUUAUCUUAAACCUAAUUUUGUUUUUUUUCAAUCGCCGCUAUUACGAUGCAUUAUUUUGUGUCUUGAUAAUCUCAAAAUUCGAUAUUCGACGGAGUUUUAACCUUGAAAUUUCUUAAUGCAACAUCCAUUCUAGUUGGAUUUGGAAGGUGAACAUAGCAUCAAUAUUUAAGGAGGUGCAAGCAAGUGAUCGGUCUCCAUGGACACUACACUACAUGUAUUUCCCAGAGUGCGUUGAAUCAAAAUCGGGUCACACGAGUGCAGAGGGAAUAGGAAACGCGAUGGCAUCGUCUGCGUGUAUCGUACUUGGUGUAGCAUAUUAACAUGUGUCGUAAAGGAAAAGCUGCAUGCAUGUAUUCCCUUUUCCCUCUCAACCGCAUUUGUUUUUCACAUACAAAAAUGUGUAUAUAUAUCUUACUAUUAAAAUAAAACAGAAAAUUCAUAAAGAAAAGAAAGUGCUGAAUGUUGAUGAUACUUAAAAUACAAUUGACCUAUUGUUAAAAAAAACGAAAAACUGCACGGAAAUAUGAUAAUAACGUAGAGGAGAAAACAUAGAAUAAACAAAAAAAUUAACUUAUGCCUUCACGUUAGAGUUAGGUUUUAUUUUUCUUGAUUUUUGUUUUGAUGUUGUCCAUGAUAUUUUGUUGGAGGAUGUUCAUGGGACAGA
Arabidopsis lyrata subsp. lyrata is the source of this 842-nucleotide long non-coding RNA. RefSeq lists it as uncharacterized. The record is from RefSeq and is a predicted model, not a curated record. Lineage: Eukaryota; Viridiplantae; Streptophyta; Magnoliopsida; Brassicales; Brassicaceae. The transcript is spliced from 3 exons.